Molecule: transfer RNA, 69 nt
Filed under: Halaelurus buergeri (blackspotted catshark)
Lineage: Eukaryota; Metazoa; Chordata; Chondrichthyes; Carcharhiniformes; Scyliorhinidae
Description: tRNA-Ile
Rfam family: tRNA
About the family: Transfer RNA (tRNA) molecules are approximately 80 nucleotides in length. Their secondary structure includes four short double-helical elements and three loops (D, anti-codon, and T loops). Further hydrogen bonds mediate the characteristic L-shaped molecular structure. tRNAs have two regions of fundamental functional importance: the anti-codon, which is responsible for specific mRNA codon recognition, and the 3' end, to which the tRNAs corresponding amino acid is attached (by aminoacyl-tRNA synthetases). tRNAs cope with the degeneracy of the genetic code in two manners: having more than one tRNA (with a specific anti-codon) for a particular amino acid; and 'wobble' base-pairing, i.e. permitting non-standard base-pairing at the 3rd anti-codon position.
Source: RNAcentral
GGAAGCGUGCCUGAAUAAAGGACCACUUUGAUAGAGUGGACAAUGAGAGUUAAAAUCCCUCCCCUUCCU